CAGUCGCCACGGGAAUACAGAGGGUGCGAGCGUUAAUCGGAUUUACUGGGCGUAAAGCGUGCGUAGGCGGCUAAUUGAGUCGGAUGUGAAAUCCCCGAGCUUAACUUGGGAAUUGCAUUCGAUACUGGUUAGCUAGAGUGUGGGAGAGGAUGGUAGAAUUCCAGGUGUAGCGGUGAAAUGCGUAGAGAUCUGGAGGAAUACCGAUGGCGAAGGCAGCCAUCUGGCCUAACACUGACGCUGAGGUACGAAAGCAUGGGGAGCAAACAGGAUUAGAUACCCCGGUAGUCCCUGUCUCUUAUAA
RNAcentral lists this ribosomal RNA (301 nucleotides) under uncultured bacterium. RNAcentral's name for it is "partial 16S ribosomal RNA". It matches the Rfam family "Bacterial small subunit ribosomal RNA", at positions 509 to 809 of the family's 1533-position model. The record is from RNAcentral.